RNAcentral lists this microRNA precursor (55 nucleotides) under Pristionchus pacificus. Its description in RNAcentral is "microRNA ppc-mir-8308 precursor". Lineage: Eukaryota; Metazoa; Nematoda; Chromadorea; Rhabditida; Neodiplogasteridae. The record is from miRBase by way of RNAcentral.
CCAUUGAUCUCUCCACUUUUCAUAUCAUUUAAUGUAAAGUGAGCGCUCAAUGAGU